Molecule: ribosomal RNA, 503 nt
Filed under: uncultured bacterium
Lineage: Bacteria
Description: bacterial SSU rRNA
Rfam family: Bacterial small subunit ribosomal RNA
Source: RNAcentral
GAUGAACGCUAGCGGCAGGCCUAAUACAUGCAAGUCGAGGGGCAGCGGGUGUAGCAAUACAUGCCGGCGACCGGCGCACGGGUGCGUAAUGCGUAUGCAACUUACCUCUCACAGGGGAAUAGCCCCGAGAAAUCGGGAUUACGACCUCAUAAUAUUUAUCAUUCGCAUGUUUCAUAAAUUAAAUCUCCGGUGGUUAGAGAUGGGCAUGCGUGACAUUAGCUAGUUGGUGAGGUAACGGCUCACCAAGGCUGCGAUGUGUAGGGGUUCUGAGAGGACAGUCCCCCACACUGGUACUGAGACACGGACCAGACUCCUACGGGAGGCAGCAGUAAGGAAUAUUGGGCAAUGGACGCAAGUCUGACCCAGCCAUGCAGCGUGCAGGAUGAAGGCCCUAUGGGUUGUAAACUGCUUUUGUACGGGAAGAAACUUCCGCACGUGUGCGGAAUUGACGGUACCGUGCGAAUAAGCACCGGCUAACUCCGUGCCAGCCGCCGCGGUAAAAC